RNAcentral lists this ribosomal RNA (301 nucleotides) under uncultured bacterium. RNAcentral's name for it is "partial 16S ribosomal RNA". It matches the Rfam family "Bacterial small subunit ribosomal RNA", at positions 509 to 807 of the family's 1533-position model. The record is from RNAcentral.
CAGUAGCCGCGGUAACACGAAGGGUGCGAGCGUUAAUCGGAAUUACUGGGCGUAAAGCGUGCGCAGGCGGUUAUAUAAGACAGAUGUGAAAUCCCCGGGCUCAACCUGGGACCUGCAUUUGUGACUGUAUAGCUAGAGUACGGUAGAGGGGGAUGGAAUUCCGCGUGUAGCAGUGAGAUGCGUAGAUAUGCGGAGGAACACCGAUGGCGAAGGCAGUCCCCUGGACCUGUACUGACGCUCAUGCACGAAAGCGUGGGGAUCAAACAGGAUUAGAUACCCGAGUAGUCCCUGUCUCUUAUAC